UAGCAUAUCUGCUGUGGGAAUUGAGGGGA
This 29-nucleotide non-coding RNA is filed under the name Rattus norvegicus (Norway rat). Lineage: Eukaryota; Metazoa; Chordata; Mammalia; Rodentia; Muridae. The record is from RNAcentral.